Molecule: ribosomal RNA, 249 nt
Filed under: uncultured Actinomycetales bacterium
Lineage: Bacteria; Bacillati; Actinomycetota; Actinomycetes; Actinomycetales
Description: partial 16S ribosomal RNA
Rfam family: Bacterial small subunit ribosomal RNA
Source: RNAcentral
GGGGUGCUCGAGUGGCGAACGGGUGAGUAACACGUGAGUAACCUGCCCUUGACUUUGGGAUAACUUCAGGAAACUGGGGCUAAUACCGGAUAGGAGCUCCUGCUGCAUGGUGGGGGUUGGAAAGUUUCGGCGGUUGGGGAUGGACUCGCGGCUUAUCAGCUUGUUGGUGGGGUAGUGGCUUACCAAGGCUUCGACGGGUAGCCGGCCUGAGAGGGUGACCGGCCACAUUGGGACUGAGAUACGGCCCAG